RNAcentral lists this long non-coding RNA (348 nucleotides) under Chloebia gouldiae (Gouldian finch). Its description in RNAcentral is "Erythrura gouldiae (Gouldian finch) lncRNA (ENSEGOG00005003424.1)". Lineage: Eukaryota; Metazoa; Chordata; Aves; Passeriformes; Passeridae. The record is from RNAcentral.
GGCGAGGCUGCCAAGGCUCCCCCGCUGCCGCCGCGCUCGGCUUGGCCCGGCGCCGGCAGCCAGAGGAGGAAGGCUAGAGAAUUUUAUUCUGUUGGAGAAUAGAACCCUGGUGGUUGCUUGCACAGAGGGGAAAAGCAGAGAGGAGUACGGGAAUCGUCCUGUGCAAUCUAUUGUUUGAAACUUACUUUAUAUCAGAAAUUGAAGAUGAAAACGGAAAAGAAAUGGAGCAAUUUCAGUAACUAUCCUAUCUAACAUCUGUCUCAUAUCUUAAGGAAUAUUACAAAUACUUGCUUUGAAUUGAGAAAAUGACUGCAGCUAUAGAAGAAAGUACCAGUCCAGAAAGUGGAA